CAAUAGCGUAUAUUAAAGUUGUUGCAGUUAAAAAGCUCGUAGUUGGAUUUCUGGUAGGAGCGACCGUGCCGAACUUGAUUGUUCGAGUAUUGUGUUGUCUUCAGCCAUCCUCGUGGAGAACUUUUCUAACAUUAACUUGUUGGGAUUGGGACCCGCGUCGUUUACUGUGAAAAAAUUAGAGUGUUUAAAGCAGGCAUUAGCUUGAAUACAUUAGCAUGGAAUAAUAAGAUAGGACUUUGGUACUAUUUUGUUGGUUUGCAUACCAAAUUAAUGAUCAACAGGAACAGUUUGAGGAUAUUCGUAUGAACAUGUCAGAGGUGAAAUUCUUGGAUUUUGAUCAGACGAACUACUGCGAAAGUAUUUAUCAAGGAUGUUUUCAUUAA
RNAcentral lists this ribosomal RNA (383 nucleotides) under uncultured eukaryote. Its description in RNAcentral is "partial 18S ribosomal RNA". It matches the Rfam family "Eukaryotic small subunit ribosomal RNA", at positions 592 to 976 of the family's 1831-position model. The record is from RNAcentral.